Pelobates cultripes (western spadefoot toad) is the source of this 779-nucleotide non-coding RNA. The record is from the annotation of a GenBank genome assembly. NCBI's taxonomy places the organism in Eukaryota, Metazoa, Chordata, Amphibia, Anura, Pelobatidae.
CGCAAGUCUGCCAAUGGCGGGGCCAGAAACGGCCCUGCCAUCCUUCCCAAUUGGACUUCCUUAGUUAACUUCUCCCUCACCACCCCCGGAUGUUCCCUUACCGACUUAAGAUUCGCACUUAUUCCACCUGGUCCCUUUGCCUUGAAUGGGAUUUUAAAGCCCUCCAUAAAAACUUAGCGUCGUCUUAAUCAGCAUAUUGCCUUAGCCAUGGCAACAUCGCAUCGACCUUCACCGGUGACAACCCCAGCGGAAGCUGCGGGGGCCGUUGCACCUGUCGCUCCCCCUCCUGCGUUGGGCUUAUCUUGUUUGAAGCAUCUAUUGUCACCGUGGUCUGAAUCUACACGAAGCUCCCCACUUGCAUUGUCCCUCAUUGUACGACCAACAAAAACCCUUCUUCUGUCCAGCCGACACUGCACCCCCCGUGGCCGCGCCUGCUGCCCCUGGAAAGGGCGUGUUUUGCUGCGCCAUCAUAAUCCGCAUCCAUAGUGGCAGGUCCAUUUUGUCCCAGCGCAUGGACGGAUUCGCUGCUAGUCGUUGACGAAACUGUUCGUCAUACCUCCACCAUGCUAAUCCCCCAUAUGUCCACAUCCCCUAAACCGUCAAGGUAGCAGAACAGCUGUGAGCAGCAGUCUGGGCUCUUUUCACCAAUAAUGCUAGUCAGUAUACAAAAGGCCCUAAGCCAAUUCCAGAAGGUCUUUGGUAUCUUACGAUACCUCCGCCUCUUCUCUUCCUCCUCCUUUUUGGCAUCUUUCUUGCCCUCUUCUUUUAGGUCCAAAAAU